GCAGCUGCCUGAGGCUGGGUGGUUUCAACUUUCAGGCAACUCUUUGAAUGUGGGAUUUUUAUUUCAGUUUAUAUCUCCCAAGUUUCAAUACGAAUAAGCUCUAAGACUCGAAGCAAAUCUCAGCAUACUGAAGUUUAGUAAUGGUUCCAUCUAAAACCAGACAUUAUCCAUAGUGUGUGCAAGAGGUGACCCAGGUUGAUGGAAAGACAUUGAGACGUCCACAAACCAUUUAAGGAGCCUGAGCUGCAUAUCGAACUGUUUUAUUUUUUAAGAAAAAGUGGUGAGUUUUGCCUGGCUUUUUGUUUUGCUGUCAUGAUUGUACACAAAUGAAACUAUAACUAUAUAUUUUAUUAAGGGAAUAUGUUUGCUGUUUGCCAGUUUUGAUCAUAUCCACCUUAUGGUUGAAC
RNAcentral lists this long non-coding RNA (407 nucleotides) under Homo sapiens (human). RNAcentral's name for it is "HSALNT0326483". The record is from RNAcentral. Lineage: Eukaryota; Metazoa; Chordata; Mammalia; Primates; Hominidae.